ACAGGUGGUUCAGUGGUAGAAUUCUUGCUUUCCAUGCAGGAGACCCCGGUUUGAUUCCCAGCCAAUGUA
This 69-nucleotide transfer RNA is filed under the name Loxodonta africana (African savanna elephant). It matches the Rfam family "tRNA". From Rfam's summary of the family: Transfer RNA (tRNA) molecules are approximately 80 nucleotides in length. Their secondary structure includes four short double-helical elements and three loops (D, anti-codon, and T loops). Further hydrogen bonds mediate the characteristic L-shaped molecular structure. tRNAs have two regions of fundamental functional importance: the anti-codon, which is responsible for specific mRNA codon recognition, and the 3' end, to which the tRNAs corresponding amino acid is attached (by aminoacyl-tRNA synthetases). tRNAs cope with the degeneracy of the genetic code in two manners: having more than one tRNA (with a specific anti-codon) for a particular amino acid; and 'wobble' base-pairing, i.e. permitting non-standard base-pairing at the 3rd anti-codon position. The record is from Rfam by way of RNAcentral. Lineage: Eukaryota; Metazoa; Chordata; Mammalia; Proboscidea; Elephantidae.